UAGGGAAUCUUCCGCAAUGGACGCAAGUCUGACGGAGCAACGCCGCGUGAGUGAAGAAGGAUUUCGGUUCGUAAAACUCUGUUGUUAGAGAAGAACAGCGCAUAGAGUAACUGUUAUGCGUGUGACGGUAUCUAACCAGAAAGCCACGGCUAACUACGUGCCAGCAGCCGCGGUAAUACGUAGGUGGCAAGCGUUGUCCGGAUUUAUUGGGCGUAAAGCGAGCGCAGGCGGUCAAUUAAGUCUGAUGUGAAAGCCCCCGGCUCAACCGGGGAGGGUCAUUGGAAACUGGUUGACUUGAGUGCAGAAGAGGAGAGUGGAAUUCCAUAUGUAGCGGUGAACUGCGUAGAUAUAUGGAGGAACACCAGUGGCGAAGGCGACUCUCUGGUCUGUAACUGACGCUGAGGCUCGAAAGCGUGGGUAGCAAACAGG
RNAcentral lists this ribosomal RNA (429 nucleotides) under Bacteroidota bacterium. RNAcentral describes it as "Bacteroidetes bacterium partial 16S ribosomal RNA". It matches the Rfam family "Bacterial small subunit ribosomal RNA", at positions 355 to 776 of the family's 1533-position model. The record is from RNAcentral. Lineage: Bacteria; Pseudomonadati; Bacteroidota.